CCUACGGGAGGCAGCAGUGAGGAAUAUUGGUCAAUGGGCGGGAGCCUGAACCAGCCAAGCCGCGUGAGGGAAGAAGGUACAGCGUAUCGUAAACCUCUUUUGUCAGGGAACAAAGGCGGGGACUAGUCCCCGGAUGAGGGUACCUGAAGAAAAAGCAUCGGCUAACUCCGGGCCAGCAGCCGCGGUAAUACGGAGGAUGCGAGCGUUAUCCGGAUUUAUUGGGUUUAAAGGGUGCGCAGGCGGCCUGUUAAGUCAGCGGGAAAAGCCCGGGGCUCAACCCCGGCGAGCCGUUGAAACUGGCGGGCUGGAGUUGGCGAGAAGUACGCGGAAUGCGCGGUGUAGCAGUGAAAUGCUUAGAUAUCGCGCAGAACCCCGAUUGCGAAGGCAGCGUACCGGCUCCACACUGACGCUGAGGCACGAAAGCGUGGGUAUCGAACAGGAUUAGAUACCCUUGUAGUC
This 459-nucleotide ribosomal RNA is filed under the name uncultured bacterium. RNAcentral describes it as "partial 16S ribosomal RNA". It matches the Rfam family "Bacterial small subunit ribosomal RNA", at positions 338 to 795 of the family's 1533-position model. The record is from RNAcentral.